Molecule: ribosomal RNA, 459 nt
Filed under: uncultured bacterium
Lineage: Bacteria
Description: partial 16S ribosomal RNA
Rfam family: Bacterial small subunit ribosomal RNA
Source: RNAcentral
CCUACGGGUGGCAGCAGUGAGGAAUAUUGGUCAAUGGGCGCGAGCCUGAACCAGCCAAGUAGCGUGAGGGAAGACGGUCCUAUGGAUUGUAAACCUCUUUUGGCGGGGAGCAAAAGACGCCACGCGUGGCGUUCCGAGAGUACCCGGAGAAAAAGCAUCGGCUAACUCCGUGCCAGCAGACGCGGUAAUCCGGAGGAUGAGAGAGUUAUCCGGAGCUAUGGGGGUGAAAGGGGGCGCAGGCGGAAGAUCAAGUCAGCGGUAAAAUUGAGAGGCUCAACCUCUUCGAGCCGUUGAAACUGGUUUUCUUGAGUGAGCGAGAAGUAUGCGGAAUGCGUGGUGUAGCGGUGAAAUGCAUAGAUAUCACGCAGAACUCCGAUUGCGAAGGCAGCAUACCGGCGCUCAACUGACGCUCAUGCACGAAAGUGUGGGUAUCGAACAGGAUUAGAUACCCCUGUAGUC